RNAcentral lists this ribosomal RNA (394 nucleotides) under uncultured bacterium. RNAcentral describes it as "bacterial SSU rRNA". It matches the Rfam family "Bacterial small subunit ribosomal RNA", at positions 29 to 418 of the family's 1533-position model. The record is from RNAcentral.
AUUGAACGCUGGCGGCAUGCCUAACACAUGCAAGUCGAACGGCAGCACGGCAGUAGCAAUACUGUGGGUGGCGAGUGGCGGACGGGUGAGGAAUACGUCGGAAUCUGCCCAGUCGUGGGGGAUAACUAGCCGAAAGGUUAGCUAAUACCGCAUACGACCGAGAGGUGAAAGCGGGGGACCGCAAGGCCUCGCGCGAUUGGAUGAGCCGACGUCGGAUUAGCUAGUUGGUGGGGUAAAGGCCCACCAAGGCGACGAUCCGUAGCUGGUCUGAGAGGAUGAUCAGCCACACUGGAACUGAGACACGGUCCAGACUCCUACGGGAGGCAGCAGUGGGGAAUAUUGGACAAUGGGCGCAAGCCUGAUCCAGCAAUGCCGCGUGUGUGAAGAAGGCCUC